AAUGGCCGCAAAAAGCACCGUUACUUUCAUGCUUUUAGCUCUAUUUGCCUCUGCUGCUCUCGGUCAGGCUCCCGGAGCUGCACCGACGGUUUCUCCGCCGUCUAAAUCACCGUCAGCUGCACCUGCUCCUAAAACUGCAACUCCAGCACCUGCUCCAACUCAAGCGCCACCUGUCUCCGCUCCUUCUCCUGCUCCUCCAACUGCUGCUACACCUACCCCCGCUGGAGCGCCGACCAUGACUCCAACCAGCUCUCCACCAGCUCCUGUGGCUCC
Molecule: long non-coding RNA, 273 nt
Filed under: Ricinus communis (castor bean)
Lineage: Eukaryota; Viridiplantae; Streptophyta; Magnoliopsida; Malpighiales; Euphorbiaceae
Description: long non-coding RNA (RCOM_LNC000380)
Source: RNAcentral